UACGUAGGGUGCGAGCGUUAAUCGGAAUUACUGGGCGUAAAGCGUGCGCAGGCGGUUUGUAAGUCAGAUGUGAAAUCCCCGGGCUUAACCUGGGAACUGCGUUUGAAACUACAAGGCUAGAGUGUAGCAGAGGGGGGUGGAAUUCCACGUGUAGCAGUGAAAUGCGUAGAGAUGUGGAGGAACACCGAUGGCGAAGGCAGCCCCCUGGGUUAACACUGACGCUCAGGCACGAAAGCGUGGGGAGCAAACAGG
RNAcentral lists this ribosomal RNA (252 nucleotides) under uncultured bacterium. RNAcentral's name for it is "partial 16S ribosomal RNA". It matches the Rfam family "Bacterial small subunit ribosomal RNA", at positions 524 to 776 of the family's 1533-position model. The record is from RNAcentral.